Molecule: ribosomal RNA, 510 nt
Filed under: uncultured bacterium
Lineage: Bacteria
Description: partial 16S ribosomal RNA
Rfam family: Bacterial small subunit ribosomal RNA
Source: RNAcentral
GACGAACGCUGGCGGCGUGCUUAACACAUGCAAGUCGAACGAAGAGCGAUGGAAGCUUGCUUCUAUCAAUCUUAGUGGCGAACGGGUGAGUAACGCGUAAUCAACCUGCCCUUCAGAGGGGGACAACAGUUGGAAACGACUGCUAAUACCGCAUACGAUCUAAUCUCGGCAUCGAGGAUAGAUGAAAGGUGGCCUCUACAUGUAAGCUAUCACUGAAGGAGGGGAUUGCGUCUGAUUAGCUAGGUGGAGGGGGAACGGCCCACCAAGGCGAUGAUCAGUAGCCGGUCUGAGAGGAUUAACGGCCACAUUGGGACUGAGACACGGCCCAGACUCCUACGGGAGGCAGCAGUGGGGAAUCUUCCGCAAUGGACGAAAGUCUGACGGAGCAACGCCGCGUGAGUGAUGACGGCCUUCGGGUUGUAAAGCUCUGUUAAUCGGGACGAAAGGCCUUCUUGCGAAUAGUGAGAAGGAUUGACGGUACCGGAAUAGAAAGCCACGGCUAACUACGUG